This 1529-nucleotide long non-coding RNA is filed under the name Equus caballus (horse). RNAcentral's name for it is "lncRNA (ENSECAG00000054122.1)". The record is from RNAcentral. Lineage: Eukaryota; Metazoa; Chordata; Mammalia; Perissodactyla; Equidae.
AAAACACACACAAACAUGUGCAUGCACACACACACACACACAAAUAACAUAAAGAUCCAUGAUUCACUCUUCAAAUCAACUUGCUUUCAACCAUAUGGAAAGUGUAUGGAUUGAAUCUUUCAGAUACUUUUUCAGAGCAGAUACGCCAAACUCUAUUUCUCUCACCUGGCUCCAGGCAUUAUUUAGUCUUCUCCAGCUGGGUAUAAUUAUUCAUUAGGGAACUCUCCUGUUAUUCACACUCAAAUUUGUGAUGGCUGUGCUGUGGAUGCCACUAUCUUGAAAGGAAGCCUUACAUGGUGAAGCGUUCGGGUGGGUAGAAGGAACAUAAGAAGAGAAAACUAGAGGAAAGAGAAGAAGAUAUGUACUUCGGAGGAAUGUCAUCUCCAUGAUGUCUGAAGCUUGCCUUGGAGCUCUUCCAAAGGAGGUGGACAGAUGACCAGGGAUGGUAAGAACAAUGUAAUUUGGAGGACAAAGGAAGAACUCAGAUUUCUUGGAUGACUUUACCAGUGAAAUGAGUUCCUGAUUCAUCUGAAAGGGCAAGUGGAAUACCCUAGGUCUAGUGGGGAACAUUAGUGCAGCUCAGCAAUAUUUCCAGUUAUUCUCUGUCUGGGCAUACUGAAGGAUUGCAUGGUGCUACUCCUCUUUGAAGAUGACAGAGGCCACAUGAUUUGCUUUGGCUGAUAAAUAGUGAGUGGAAGAAAUAUGCACCACUUUCAGAUGAAAAUAAUCAAUAACUGUAACUUGGCUUGUCAAACUGCUUUUUAUAUUCUUUCAUGUCAUUCAUGGAGGUGUCAUAAAAUUCACGCAUCCUGGAAAGCUGAGCCAACACAGAAGACAACUGACCUGGAAUGUCAGCCAGGCGUGUGAUGUAUUUUGCACAAGAUAUUUUUAUUGGAUUAAGCCACUGAGAUUUAGGGGCUGCCCGUUAACACAGCAAAGCUCAUCUUAUGCUACCUAUGUCUUCUACACCUGUGAAAUGUCUAUGGUGACUAUUAGAAUGUGUUUGAAUACAGCUGAACUUACUCUACCAAAUAUUAAAUAUUUAAGUGUUCUAAUUAGGUAAAAUUUGGAAAUCUUUGCAUAUCAUGGAUUUUUAUAUCAGCCCAAGUAUUUGAAAUACGUAGAAUAGUAUAUGAACAUGGCAGUAACAUGACAAAUAAGCAUCCCUUAGUAUUUAAAGGGCACUUAUAAAGUCUUUAUUAUCCUGGAAUAUUUAGUUCAAUGAAUACAAUAACAUCACAAGAAAGAAAACAUCAUGAAUAGAUAAAAUGUAGUUAUCCAUUUAUUUCUUAUUUCUGUAUUCACCAGGAAAGUUUUUUCUGUGUGUUCUUUUAUUUGUAAACAGCUACUUGGUAACUAAGAGGCAUUAAAUUAAAGACUAACUUGACUUUGCCAGGUCAUCAAAUUCUGAUCCAUAAUGAACUCUGUGUAUAAAUAAAAAGCAGAUCAUUUUUUUCCAUCAAAGAGGUAGUUCUUUACAUUUCUAAAUCCAAGUCUCUCAAUAUUCACUCUUUGUAGAAUUUUUAUAA